CAAAAGAUUGUGUAUUUUAGCUACGUGACGUGUCCUUUAUUUGACAAUAUGAGUAACAAUUUGCAUUAAAUUAACUUUUAUUGUAAUAUGUGAACAUUAUAAAUAGUUAUGACAUUUCGUAGAACAACAAAUAUCAAGACAAAAUCGAUGCCCAGAUUAAAUAUUGAUGAUGAAAUGUGCAGGACAAGCUGUCAUGGAUCUGUAUGUUAUAACUAGGGUCCAUGGAAUACUGCAGCAUCCUUGGACCUGGAUUCCUCUACCGCUUUAAAGGAAUAGCUCAGUUUUCCUCUUUCCAUCUAUUGAACAAAGAGUCACUGACAGCUUAGCAUCUGCAACACACCAGGAGCUCUGAUUUGCAAUAGCAACAUUUAGAGGGCCAAAUUCUGGCCUCGGAUUGACUUUAGUGGAACCUCUACACACAUACGUCCAGGGGCAGUUGUUCUGCACCUUUCAAUGCAAGAGUCUCCUGACAGCUGGGGGGCAGAGCUGGCAAUUCAGUGUGGCUGUUACAGAGGCAGGCCCACGGGGCGCUCUCAUCCAGGGAGACGUGUUUGUUUUCUGGUAUACGUUUUGUGUCUUGUAUAUGGAAUACACAACACCCUUGCCUCUGGUAGCCACCCCUAUACACUUGAUCUGUCAGAGGCUGAGUUUGUUGACCUGCAAAGCAUGCCUAUCUGUUUACCAAGGCUUUUUCUGAGGGAGCUGGUUGGGGGGAGUCCUUGUUUGCAUUCACUCUCAGGGGCUGGCCUAUGUAUUGUGUUUUCUUUUUACAGUUUGUGUUUGUAUAUGUGCCUCAGGGUUGAUGAGAGGGGUCCCUCACCCAUUUAAAAGUAAUUAAAUAAAAUGUAUCAUCACUUUAGUAAGCUGAGGAGGCCUUUUGACCUUUGGACUAAACACUUCCAGAAAUAAAAUAAAGUGUCAGGACACUAGAGGAAUUAACUAUAUCACCAAGUCUAGUUGGAACAAAGCCAGCCUCUCAGACAGAGGGCACUGGAUUCUCACAUUGAUGGAAAAUGAUACCAAAGUAAAAAUCAUGAGCUGCUGUGUCACAGGAAUCUGUUCGCCUAUUAUCACUACUGGGGCCUUGGCGCACCCACAAUAAAAAUAAAUAAUCAUAAUCAACCCUCCUAAUGCACAGGGGCCAAAAUAGUCAAACCUGGAUGCCUAAACCCAUAUGUAUUUCUUUAGAUUUAAAAUAAUAAAAGACAUCUGUCCAGGCCUGGAGGUGCUGGGACAAAAUUAAUUAUACAAUCAGUACAAUUGAAUAAAAUCUCAGCAGCAUUAUAAUCAUCAGUUCCACAGGAACUCAGCCAGCCACCUACUGCCUUCAUUCUCUAGGAAGCAUCCAUCAGUGCUCUUCUUUAGAUACCUAAGUAAUAAUGGCCUGACUUUUCCCCCCCGAAGCCCUGUGUAGUUGAGGAUGCUCAGGAUUGCUGAAUUUCAGCUAUCUUGUAUUCAGAGUCUAAGUUUAGACAACAAAGUUUGGAAGUUUUAACCUAUAAUUCCCAUAAUAGAAUCAACACAGUCCCAACUCCCCUCAUAAGAACUCUUGGUGAAAUCUGGCCCCACUGAAGUCAGCUGGUUUUUUCCCAUUGACUUCAUUGGAGCCAUAAUUUCACCCGAUGUGUGGAAGUCUCCAGUGGAGCAAUGGGAUAAUACAAUGCUGUGUGAGCAGAGAGAAGAGUGCAGUGAGAAUCCUAAUGGCUCUACUUCAGAGGGAGCAGGGCUUUGCUUUUCAAACAGGCUUUGGUAAGGAUGGAGAUAGUAUAAGCAAAAAAGCAAUGAGCCUGUUCUCCAUUUUAAUGAAACCUUGGCUCUUCUUUUCCCUCUCCCCAAGAUAUUUCAGGAGAUACAGUGGCUCUGCUCAACUUCCUCAUGUGUACAGGUCGAGGGAUUUAUAACUUUAAGAGUAUACACACAGUUCAGUUCCUGGGUAGCUCAGAAACAUACAUAAUAAGUAGCGGCCAUCAUUCUCUGUGUUUAUAUCAGGCUGUGAAAUGCAGCAUUGGCUGAUAUAUACUCCCUGGCCAUACUAAAGCUGAUUGUUGGUGUUCCAAGGGUACAGGAAGAAGCAAACAGGACAUAAAUCCUCCUUCUAUGCAAACAAAUGCUCUAAGUGUCAUGAUUUUUCUAUAAGAACGGCAUUCUCAUUUCACCCGCUUUUGACAGAGUGCAUGUUAAAUGGCUACAACGCUUAAGAGGUCUUAAAAAACCUUAUUUGAUCUUCUUGGACAUGCAACUAUACUAUGUUCUUUAAAGCACCCCGAAGAAAAUGGAUUACCAAAAACAUGUGAAAGGGAAUAGAAUUGAGGCCAAAUUGCUCAUUAGCCCAUAGAACUAAUCAGAAUACUGAUUCUCAUUUGUUUAUCUCACUAAUUCCCUCUUGGACUGUGUUCUGUCCAUUUGGCAUAGUAAUACUCAUUACUGAAGAAUUAUAACCCCCAUGUGCUACCUUGAAGCUGCACACAGCCAUUUUGCCCUAAUAUGUAGCAGUUUACAUUUUCCAAGCACUUAAACAUUAAUUAGAUAAUCACCAGUACACCUCUGGAAGACUCAGGGCCUAGUUUUCAUUUUAGAGAAACGGGGCCUAGUUUUCAGAGGUGAGGGUGAGCACGCACCUCCCCCGUUGAAGCCAAGUGGACCUGUGGUUCUUUGGCCCUCAGUGAUUUGUACAAGGCCACACAGAAAGUCAGUAAUGGAAGUAGGAUCAGAAUUCAGGAAUUCAUGGCUCCCGGCCCACUCUCACUCUGUUCUGACCUUGAAACUUCGACAUUCCAAAUACUUCUAUUCAGACAUAUAUUUUUAACCAAAAAACUUUUUUUCAAUAUGCAAGAAGGCAGAAAACUUGAUUGUUCCCCCUCUCCCCUCCAUCACCAUCUCCGGGAGCCGAGUCUGCAAGUUUCAUAUAACGAUGCAUAUUGUAAAAGUUUAUUACAAAAAGAAUGUAAUGGUGAGGAAGCAAAAGUCUGCAGGCUGAAGCAUUUAAUUAAAGGUAACCUUUUAAUAGAAAAUUUUGUAGUGGUGGUAAAUUUAAUCAGACUUUUAACUAUCUUACUUUUCGCAAUGUCUUCCACAGAUCUAUGUGAGCUGGGGAGAAAAUGAGCCUGAUUCCCCACUGCCUUGCUUCAUCAUUUAUACUGGUGCAAGUGGGAUAGAGAAUCCCAGUGGUAGCACUGUACACCCACUUGGCACAGAUGCAAACAACUACACAAGGGGUGAAGCAAUGGCAAAUCAAGGCCAGUGAAUCUGCCCCACUAAGGAGGAGGAAGCAUUUAUGCUGGCCCCUUCUCCCAGCUCAUGCCUUGCCAGCUGGGUCAGAGGGGAGCCUUGCCAGGUGAUGAGGACUGACCAGUAGACACUACUGCCCUUAAGGGGCCAACUACCCUGUCACAG
Molecule: non-coding RNA, 3393 nt
Organism: Chrysemys picta bellii (western painted turtle)
Lineage: Eukaryota; Metazoa; Chordata; Testudines; Emydidae
Source: RefSeq, a predicted model, not a curated record